GGGCCCGUAGCUCAGCGGCAGAGCAACAGCCUUUUAAGCUGAUGGUCACAGGUUCGAUCCCUGUCGGGCUCA
This 72-nucleotide transfer RNA is filed under the name Candidatus Woesebacteria bacterium. Its description in RNAcentral is "tRNA-Lys". It matches the Rfam family "tRNA". Rfam says of the family: Transfer RNA (tRNA) molecules are approximately 80 nucleotides in length. Their secondary structure includes four short double-helical elements and three loops (D, anti-codon, and T loops). Lineage: Bacteria; Candidatus Woeseibacteriota. The record is from RNAcentral.